Molecule: long non-coding RNA, 732 nt
Organism: Nannospalax galili (Upper Galilee mountains blind mole rat)
Lineage: Eukaryota; Metazoa; Chordata; Mammalia; Rodentia; Spalacidae
Exons: 3
Source: RefSeq, a predicted model, not a curated record
AGAAUUCACAGUGCCAAGUUCAAAUUCCAGUGUUCAAGCUGUUCUUCAAAAAACUGUUGCUGCUUGUCAGCUAUAGAUGGAACAUUCUAGCAAGAGGCCAUGACAGACUCCAGACAUAUUCUUCAUCAUAAGCAAGAAGAACACUGGGAAAAAUGGCAAUAACAACGGUUUUCAGAUAUCACGCAGCAGACAGUACAGUAUCAUGAUUCCUAAGAAAAACGAAUUGAGGGAAGUCCCUUGGCCUUCUGCCUGGAACCUCAUUCUGGACCAUUGAAAGACAUUUAACCAUAACUGGUAAAGUAGAAAGUCUGCGUGGAUCAUCGGAGACAUUCAGUAGAAAUCUUAAAGGUUGGCAUGCCUUGGCAGGGGAUGAAGCCUAGAGUGAAGCUUUUCUAGGAUCUCAAACAGGAUAUUGCCUUUAGUUUCAGAUGAGACAUGGACAUUGGACUUUCAAAAAUAUUGGAACUAGUAAAAAUGAUGGAAACUUUUGAUGUUGGACUGAAUGCCUUUUGCCCAGGAAGAAGGUUAUGAUGAACACGAUGUAUUAGAGUGUCAGGUUGACAAAGGGUGGAGUUGUGUUAAUCAAUAUCCAGAAUCACCUAGGAAAGAAGCCUCUAGACAUAUCUUUGAGGGAUUAUCUUGAUUAGGUUAACUGAGAUGAAAAGAUCUGUUCACUUUGGGGUCCCAGGCUAAACACAAAGGAGAAUGCUGAACAGAAGCAUUCAUUGUGAG